Molecule: long non-coding RNA, 577 nt
Organism: Stegostoma tigrinum
Lineage: Eukaryota; Metazoa; Chordata; Chondrichthyes; Orectolobiformes; Stegostomatidae
Exons: 3
Source: RefSeq, a predicted model, not a curated record
GGAAAAGGGAUGUUCCAGAUACAGAAAAUCGUCAAACCAUUUACUACAAAGUCCAUUUCUGGGUGGAGUUAGUGGAACCGAAAAAGAUGUCUCCCUCACAGCGUUUGUGACAAAAGAAUUGCAUCGUUCCUUGGCGGCCUUUCAACAGAAGAAUAUUCAGAGAUUUCCCGAGUGUAAAUCCCCUUCCUCUCCUGUUCCUACUCACGCCUUUCCCCCGCUCUCCGUCGGCGACGAGUCCGCUGUCUGGAUCCCUUUUCCCAGGAGGGUUCUGAGGACCCAGCUGUUCGGCAGCGGGGAUCAUCGCACCACGCUCCCGGACCCCUACAACCUCAUGUUCUCCAGCGGCCUCCAGCAUGACCACCGGGCUGGGAGCAGGCAUCCGGGCUGCUGGAGCGCUCGCUGCUCAGUGGCUCGGCCCUGCGUCGGGAGCGGGGAUCCAAGGUGGGAGAAGGCCUCUUCACCCGGCGCCUGGGCACAGCUGCCUGGCACCGAGCCCGCGCUCCCCGAGCAUCCGGCCACGGGUCCGCGACGCCUUCCGUAGCUGAGCAGCCUACAACUAUGUCCUACUGCAAGGUAA